Molecule: transfer RNA, 74 nt
Filed under: Bacteroidota bacterium
Lineage: Bacteria; Pseudomonadati; Bacteroidota
Also listed under: 4 other names
Description: Bacteroidetes bacterium tRNA-Ile
Rfam family: tRNA
About the family: Transfer RNA (tRNA) molecules are approximately 80 nucleotides in length. Their secondary structure includes four short double-helical elements and three loops (D, anti-codon, and T loops).
Source: RNAcentral
GGGCCCAUAGCUCAGCUGGUUAGAGCACCUGACUCAUAAUCAGGGGGUCCCUGGUUCGAGCCCAGGUGGGCCCA